This 460-nucleotide ribosomal RNA is filed under the name uncultured bacterium. Its description in RNAcentral is "partial 16S ribosomal RNA". It matches the Rfam family "Bacterial small subunit ribosomal RNA", at positions 338 to 795 of the family's 1533-position model. The record is from RNAcentral.
CCUACGGGAGGCAGCAGUGAGGAAUAUUGGUCAAUGGACGCGAGCCUGAACCAGCCAAGUAGCGUGAAGGAUGACUGCCCUACGGGUUGUAAACUUCUUUUAUAAAGGAAUAAAGUGUUCCACGUGUGCCUUUUUGUAUGUACCUUAUUAAUAAGGAUCGGCUAACUCCGUGCCAGCAGCCGCGGUAAUACGGAGGAUCCGAGCGUUAUCCGGAUUUAUUGGGUUUAAAGGGAGCGUAGAUGGGUUGUUAAGUCAGUUGUGAAAGUUUGCGGCUAAACCGUAAAAUUGCAAUUGAUACUGGCAGUCUUGAGUACAGUAGAGGUAGGCGGAAUUCGUGGUGUAGCGGUGAAAUGCUUAGAUAUCACGAAGAACUCCGAUUGCGAAGGCAGCCUACUAAACUGCCACUGACAGUGAGGCUCGAAAGUGUGGGUAUCAAACAGGAUUAGAUACCCCUGUAGUC